Molecule: ribosomal RNA, 401 nt
Filed under: uncultured bacterium
Lineage: Bacteria
Description: bacterial SSU rRNA
Rfam family: Bacterial small subunit ribosomal RNA
Source: RNAcentral
UUAGGAAUCUUGCGCAAUGGGCGAAAGCCUGACGCAGCAACGCCGCGUGGGGGAUGAAGGCUCUCGGGUUGUAAACCCCUUUCAGCAGGGACGAUUGUGACGGUACCUGCAGAAGAAGGACCGGCCAACUACGUGCCAGCAGCCGCGGUAAUACGAGGGGGGCGAGCGUUGUUCGGAAUUAUUGGGCGUAAAGGGUGCGUAGGCGGUUUGGUAAGUCUUUUGUGAAAUCUCUGGGCUCAACUCAGAGUCUGCAGGAGAAACUGCCGGGCUGGAGUGUGGGAGAGGUGAGUGGAAUUUCCGGUGUAGCGGUGAAAUGCGUAGAUAUCGGAAGGAACACCUGUGGCGAAAGCGGCUCACUGGACCACAACUGACGCUGAUGCACGAAAGCUAGGGGAGCAAAC